Molecule: small nucleolar RNA, 124 nt
Organism: Rattus norvegicus (Norway rat)
Lineage: Eukaryota; Metazoa; Chordata; Mammalia; Rodentia; Muridae
Product: small nucleolar RNA SNORA17
Source: Ensembl
CCAGUCCCUAAAAACAUUGCAGCUGCUAUGACAUCUGUAUGUCAGAAGGUGGCAGACAGGAGAAACAGUGUCUAUACUCAGUAUUCCAACCUCAAAAUAUCUGAAUGAUUAAUAGCUUAACAUU